RNAcentral lists this ribosomal RNA (231 nucleotides) under uncultured bacterium. RNAcentral's name for it is "partial 16S ribosomal RNA". It matches the Rfam family "Bacterial small subunit ribosomal RNA", at positions 15 to 238 of the family's 1533-position model. The record is from RNAcentral.
GAUCCUGGCUCAGGACGAACGCUGGCGGCGUGCCUAAUACAUGCAAGUAGAACGCUGAAGGAGGAGCUUGCUUCUCUGGAUGAGUUGCGAACGGGUGAGUAACGCGUAGGUAACCUGCCUGGUAGCGGGGGAUAACUAUUGGAAACGAUAGCUAAUACCGCAUAACAGUAGAUGUUGCAUGACAUUUGCUUAAAAGGUGCAAUUGCACCACUACCAGAUGGACCUGCGUUG